AAGUUGCAUCAGGAGAGACCAAUUGGUCCGGCAACCGGGGUCACGCCCACGGUGCCAUCUCAUCCGCAAGGAUGAGAGAUGUGGUUUCGUCGUUAAGACGAAGCAACGGGCUGGCUCAGU
Molecule: non-coding RNA, 120 nt
Filed under: Acidimicrobiia bacterium
Lineage: Bacteria; Bacillati; Actinomycetota; Acidimicrobiia
Description: SAM-I-IV sequence
Rfam family: SAM-I/IV (S-adenosyl methionine) riboswitch aptamer
About the family: It is found upstream of a number of genes which code for proteins involved in methionine or cysteine biosynthesis.
Source: RNAcentral